Molecule: long non-coding RNA, 4174 nt
Filed under: Homo sapiens (human)
Lineage: Eukaryota; Metazoa; Chordata; Mammalia; Primates; Hominidae
Description: HSALNT0334097
Source: RNAcentral
GGUUCUUUUUAAGACUAAAUCAUUUGACCCUAAAGGAUUUAUGCAUGGGGUUUUGUUUUCUUAGCUUGUGUGAGAAAGCAGUUUCACCUUACCAAGGUGCUUCAUAUAUUUGCCUAGGACGGUUGAAACAGUUUUCCUUGAAUGAAAUCCUAUCUCCUAUGUACUUGCACCAAACAAACUUUCCUUGGUUUACUGUUGUUGGUAUACAGUAGAACUGUAAAAAAUGCGUGCUCAUCUUGACUUGAAUGAUUAUUGGUUAAUGUUGCUCUAUCAAUGAGAAUGUAACAGAAUAUUUUCAUGUUGGAGUCAGGAAGAGAAUCAAGCUGAGUUAGCCCAUCAUCAGAUCCAUCAUAGAGGCUGCCAUGGUGUCUCACGCCUAUAAUCCCAGCACUUUGGGAGGCAGAGACAGGAGGAUUGCUUGAGGCCAGGAGUUUGAGACCAGCCUGGGCAACAUAGUGAGACCUUGUCUCUAUAAAAACAAAAAGCCUCCUGCAGAUCCCUCAUUCAAAUCACCUCGGAUAUGAAGAAAUGCUUCUUCACUGAUGAAAGGUUAACUUUAUAGUGAAGACGAAAGUAGCAGUGAGACAAAAUGUAUACAGGUUGAGAACCCCAAAUCCCAAAUCUGAAAUGCUCCAAAGUGCAAAUGUUCCAAAAUCUGAGAAAAACAAAUCCCAACACUUCUGGUCUCAAGCAUUUUGAAUUAGGGGUACUCAACCUGUAUUAGAUUAUAUAUUUGUCCCCACAUGGAGACCCCAUUGUAAUUUAGUAAAAUUCCUUUUCAAAAUCUAUGUGGUGAAAAAAUUAGUUUGUUAUAACUUGUUUACAUAAAAUUGAAUGAAAUGGGAAAAACAUCUUUAAAGUCUUACCGAGAGAAUACGUUGUAGGUUAGGAACUAGGGGUGUGUGUGUUUACUUGGAGAACUGUUUUGCUGCUGGUGAAAUAUUCUGCUAAGUGGCAAGAGGUUAAUAGUUGAUUUCUUGUGAUCUUUGUCAGUUCUGAGCUGUUGAGUAGUUUAGAAAUGAAGCUUAAACUAGACCCGAUAGCCUACUACAGUGUUAAAAUACAUAUGAAAAGUCAAGCAUAGAGUCUAAUGAAUAUUCCUGCCUCUUACAAAGGUAGAAAUGAUACUGCCUAUGGUAUUUUUUUUUGUUUGAGUGCAAAUCCAAUUCAUGAAUUUGUGCAUUUUAGUUGACCAGUGUUUAAUAUUUAGGAAUAGUUAGUACCUAAUUCAUGAUGACCUCUUGUUCUAGCAUACUGAAGGCCAGCUAUCAUUAAAGCAGUGCUUUUCACAGAAUGGUUUUGCUGACCUCCUAAAUAGAAGUGUGGAUGGCAGAAGCAUCAAAGAGGAUGAUCACAAGUGGGGAAGGCAGAAAUUUUAAAAGAACUGACUGAAGUAACUCCUCUACUAAUGUGACACCAUCUCUAUCCCCCACAAACCCUUGGAAAUACUAGUUUUGGGAGAAGAGAGGAGUAUGGUGACUAGAAAGUAGCUAUAACCUGUUGAUCAUUGUAUACUUUAUAAGGCAAUUUAAGUAUUAAUGUAAUUGCACAAAUUACAAAUGUUUAAAAAGUGAAGUGAAUUUAUACAAUCUAGAAGUGGUUUGUUUCUUUCUGGAAUGAGCAAAAUAAAAUUAGCUAUCGCCUGCAGCAUUGGGAAUCUAAGUGUUGACAUCUAAGCACUUGCUUGACUAUGUUAAAAGAAUGUUUCUGUAGGAAACUCUGUUCUUUAUGGUGUAGCCUCCCUUACUCUGAAAUGCAAGCAAGACUCGGGCAACAGUUCCUUAACGGAUUAGCAGUGCUGGACUGUGGCAGCCUUUUCUAAUCUCUUAGUCUAUAGCAGUUUGAUGUCUUACUAAUAAGCAUUCUUAAAUUGUGUGGUUAAUUAUUAUGCUAGUCAAGAUACAUGAAGCAGUGUGUUAAAGAUGAUGAUGAUGAUGAUGUUAUGGAAAUUAUGUCAAAAAUAAUUGUUGCAUUUCUAACGGGAAACAGUGCUCAGUGCUGUGAAAUAGCUGAGAGGUGGCUUCUUUCAGGCCUCAAGUGGGAAAAUUGUGACCAUGUGUUAGAGACAGUUGUCAUUGGCUCAGUCUUAUCCCGGAUUAUCUCAUCUGGAAAUCCUUAACUUAAUUACAUCUGCAGAAGCUUUUUUUCCCAAAAUUAUCACAUUCACAGAUUCUGGGUGGACAUAUUUUGGGAGGUGGGGACAGGGACAGGGUGCAUCAUUCAGUCCACUACGGGAAUAUGUAACUACUUUUAAAACAGAAAUGGAAGAGAUGUGCACUCAAAUUUUAUGCUGAUGGUACACCUUUAUCAAAGCUUGGAGACUUCUAGUUUAGAGAACUGUUUGGGUUGGAUACAGUUGGCCUCUUUUCAUGUAAUUAGACGACCCUCUGUGACAUGAAAAGUAGUAUAAGAGUUAAGGCCAGGAACGGUGGCUCACACCUGUAAUCCCAACACUUCGGGAGGCUUAGGCGGGCGGAUCACGAGACUUGUCAGGAAUAUGGAUAACUUUCAGAUAGACUCAGAAAAGCACGGGACUGUUUUGUGCUUCAGAGGCUUUGGCUCCACCAAGUUUCAGAUACUUAGCUUCAGUUGUAGUUUGCCUCUAGAUCCCCUCAUAAUCAGAGAAACAGUGCUGAAAGCUUCACAAGAGUAGCUAAUUUAGGAAAAGGUGUGCAUAUGUGGUGGGGGGAGUGUUUUUGUCUAACACAUUUUCUGUUUUGGUGGUGAGAUCUUCAUUUCUUAACAUCUUUCUUGUUCUUGUUCAUAUGACUUUUAGCUCAUUAACCUUGCUCUCUGUGCUGCGUAGUGAAGCACCAUUUCUAUUUAGUCUCCUGUGUUUAGCUUCUCAGAAGAAUUUUUUUGAAAAUGUUUGGAAGUGUGAUUUAAUUGCAAGGCUGUUUGCACAUUGUCAGUGUGAAAGCAAAGAUGAAUUUCGUAUUUAGACUGUGCAACCUGCAGAUUUCAUUUGUUAAACCUUCCAGUUGGUACUCCCGUUCUCUCAUACAUGUGUGCAUAAUAAUAGUAUGGAAAAAAACUCCUGUUUUGUUGUAUCCAUAUUUAUCAGUUUGGUUGAGUUAUGGAAAAGCCUGUCCUUUGCUUUGUGUAUUUGCUCAUUUGGAAACCUUGUAUAGUUUAUAGAGACACUAGUGAUUUGUUCCCCAGCUUCCCUGUGGGUUUUGUUCCAUAUUACAAUCUAAUUCCACCUCUCUGUCCCAUACUCCUGAGCUGUUAAUUUGUACAUUUCGAUGCCGUUUGUUUCAUCCUGUGUUUUUUAAUCCAAACUGAAUGUAAUGGGCUGUGUGCUUUAGGGACCUGGCUUUGCCUUGCCAAUUAGAACAAAGUGGUUACUGAGUAAGAGUAUGUUUUAAAUAAAACAUGGCACCUCUGAAUGGUGCUGAUACUCAUUUGGGAAUAAAAGAGAUGGUUUUAACCCUUUGACUCACAAAGAAGAGCCAUUAUAAAAGAUCAUAUAUAUAUAUUUUUUUUUCUUUGAAAAGAAGGGUAAAGUUUACCUCCAUAAAAUGUGGUUUUACAAGUUUCUUAAGUGUUACAUGCUAUAUUAGUAAUCUUGAAGAUGAGACUAGAAAUAAAUCUAUAACAAAGUUGCAACAACCCUUUAAUUUGUAGAUACUGCUUUAGGAUUGUAUGCCUUUUUCUGUUUACUAUCUCUUAAUUCAGGUGCUGUUAGUCUUGCAGCGUAUAUCACGUGGAGAAAGGGUUGGUGUGGUUUGUUUAGUGGCUCCAUUGAAAGGCUGCCUAGGACUUCUGUCUGAAUUUUAGAUGGACAUAAAUACAGGGUAUUCAUUGUGGAGGUUCAGAGUGAGAGAAUAAUGGGGAAUGUAAAAGCAUACAAGUCUGUUUUUUAAAAACUGCAACCAAGGGAACCUUUUCAAAGUACACUGUAAAGGUCAAGUGUCUUGUAUUUCCUACCUGAUCUCUAUGUGACUGAAUGGAGGCUAUUUCACUUCUGAUUUAUAAGAUACUUACCAUGACUCAAGGUUUUGUGAACAUCUGACAUUAUUAGCGCUUUUGUCUUUUGCAUGGCUCCACCCUUAAGAAGGAAAACACAGACCUAGUUUACAUUUAGAGAAGCCCUUCCCUAUAGGCCUUUGUCGCACAGCUCAAAAGAGCAACAACCUUAGAAAAUAAACUAGUCAUCUAUAGUAGAGAGCAG